Molecule: ribosomal RNA, 430 nt
Filed under: uncultured soil bacterium
Lineage: Bacteria
Description: bacterial SSU rRNA
Rfam family: Bacterial small subunit ribosomal RNA
Source: RNAcentral
AGGACGAACGCUGGCGGCGUGCCUAAUGCAUGCAAGUCGCACGCACCGCGCUUGCGCGGUGAGUGGCGCACGGCUGAGGAUCACGUGGGAACAUGCCUCCUUGUGGGGGACAACACCGCGAAAGCGGUGCUAAUCCCGCAUACGCUCGGGCAACCGAGGAAAGCGUGUAAACGCGCAGGGAGAGUGGCCCGCGGCCCAUCAGGUCGUUGGUGGGUAAUGGCCUACCAAGCCGGUGACGGGUAGCUGGUCUGUGAGGACAACCAGCCAGACUGGGACUGAGACACGGCCCAGACUCCUACGGGAGCAGCAGCAAGGUAAUUUCGACAAGUGGGCGCAAGCCUGAACGAGCAACGCCGCGUGGAGAUGACGGCGUUCGGGUUGUAAACUCCGUUUGGCGGGUACGAGUGAUCGACCGGUACCCCGACGAAUA